GCUUCCGUAGCUCAGUUGGUUAGAGCAGCUGACUCUUAAUCAGCGGGUCACCGGUUCGAGUCCGGUCGGGAGCACCA
This 77-nucleotide transfer RNA is filed under the name Acidobacteriota bacterium. RNAcentral's name for it is "tRNA-Lys". It matches the Rfam family "tRNA". From Rfam's summary of the family: Transfer RNA (tRNA) molecules are approximately 80 nucleotides in length. Their secondary structure includes four short double-helical elements and three loops (D, anti-codon, and T loops). Further hydrogen bonds mediate the characteristic L-shaped molecular structure. tRNAs have two regions of fundamental functional importance: the anti-codon, which is responsible for specific mRNA codon recognition, and the 3' end, to which the tRNAs corresponding amino acid is attached (by aminoacyl-tRNA synthetases). tRNAs cope with the degeneracy of the genetic code in two manners: having more than one tRNA (with a specific anti-codon) for a particular amino acid; and 'wobble' base-pairing, i.e. permitting non-standard base-pairing at the 3rd anti-codon position. Lineage: Bacteria; Pseudomonadati; Acidobacteriota. The record is from RNAcentral. RNAcentral also lists the same sequence under 1 other name.